RNAcentral lists this ribosomal RNA (166 nucleotides) under uncultured Arcobacter sp. RNAcentral describes it as "partial 16S ribosomal RNA". It matches the Rfam family "Bacterial small subunit ribosomal RNA", at positions 1218 to 1382 of the family's 1533-position model. Lineage: Bacteria; Pseudomonadati; Campylobacterota; Epsilonproteobacteria; Campylobacterales; Arcobacteraceae. The record is from RNAcentral.
ACACGUGCUACAAUAGGGUGUACAGAAAGCUGCGAUACGGUGACGUGGAGCAAAUCUACAAAACCACCUCCCAGUUCGGAUUGUUCUCUGCAACUCGAGAACAUGAAGUUGGAAUCGCUAGUAAUCGUAGAUCAGCAAUGCUACGGUGAAUACGUUCCCGGGUCUU